This 243-nucleotide ribosomal RNA is filed under the name uncultured bacterium. Its description in RNAcentral is "partial 16S ribosomal RNA". It matches the Rfam family "Bacterial small subunit ribosomal RNA", at positions 524 to 764 of the family's 1533-position model. The record is from RNAcentral.
UACGAAGGGGGCUAGCGUUGCUCGGAAUCACUGGGCGUAAAGGGUGCGUAGGCGGGUCUUUAAGUCAGGGGUGAAAUCCUGGAGCUCAACUCCAGAACUGCCUUUGAUACUGAGGAUCUUGAGUUCGGGAGAGGUGAGUGGAACUGCGAGUGUAGAGGUGAAAAUUCGUAGAUAUUCGCAAGAACACCAGUGGCGAAGGCGGCUCACUGGCCCGAUACUGACGCUGAGGCGCGGACAGCGUGG